CACCUCUCAGGGUCGCACCUGGAGAGUUUCCAGUACUCUACCGGUCUCAACUACAGGAGGUAAAGUCAAGCAGAGGCCUACCCAUUCCAUUCCUAGCUUGAGCAGUGGCUAGCGAGUGGAAGGCAAUCUGCUAUAAGU
Small nucleolar RNA from Tachyglossus aculeatus (Australian echidna), 138 nucleotides. The record is from RefSeq and is a predicted model, not a curated record. NCBI's taxonomy places the organism in Eukaryota, Metazoa, Chordata, Mammalia, Monotremata, Tachyglossidae.